AGACCGAGUUUAGAAGACCUUGGCCAGGGCAGAGUUAAUAGCGGAAAAGGGUUUCCGAUAUUAGAAACUCGAGUCGAAUAAAUUUAACAUAUGACAGACGAUGGGGUUUGACGAGUUAUUUCAUGACCUCCGUCUAGUCGGGACUCAUGAUAAAAGGACUGUAUCACACGGUAACUGCACCAAGAGGUUCAGUAUUCCAUUCUACUGGAAUGCCACUAAAUGCUGCUAGGCGUCAAUGGUGGAUUGUGAGACUCAUGAGAAUUAUCUAGAUGAUCGAUAAUUCUCAUUGGGCUGAGUUGGCAUUGUUCCGAUCCACUGAAAGGAGUUUCAGUGAUAUUAUUGAUAGUGAUCAAAAUAUAUCUCACUACCAGAUAGAAUAGAAUCUAUGGGGUCACACACAUAAGAGGUUGUGAUUGAUCGGAUAGCUAGAUCGCAGUUAUUGAAUCGUUGAAGGACCUAAUUGUCAAUAUAUUGAUAAUUGGACUAAUUUGUAAUUGUUACAAAUUAGUGGUAUUAAAGUGUAAAUGUUACUAGAGAGGACUUACUAAUAGUUAAUAAAUUAUAAGAGGACUUAUGUGCAAAUGUUGUAUUAUUAAUUUGAUAUGAUCAAAUUAAUAUAAAGUUCAAGUCGAAUCAAAUUAGGAUUUAAUCGAUUUAACCAUUUAAGGAAAUGAUAAAUUUAAAUAUAGAUUUGUACUUAUCCUUAAUGGUUAUUAUAUUAUUAAAAUGAGGAUUAUAU
RNAcentral lists this long non-coding RNA (739 nucleotides) under Ananas comosus (pineapple). Its description in RNAcentral is "long non-coding RNA (ACOM_LNC030533)". Lineage: Eukaryota; Viridiplantae; Streptophyta; Magnoliopsida; Poales; Bromeliaceae. The record is from RNAcentral.